Molecule: non-coding RNA, 77 nt
Filed under: Colius striatus (speckled mousebird)
Lineage: Eukaryota; Metazoa; Chordata; Aves; Coliiformes; Coliidae
Source: RNAcentral
AUUGGCUGUUACAUGCAGCUAGUGAGCUCCAAAAAGAGUGAAACCACUUAGCUCCUGUAAUUCUGGCUUAUAAGUGU